Hordeum vulgare subsp. vulgare (domesticated barley) is the source of this 376-nucleotide long non-coding RNA. RefSeq lists it as uncharacterized. Lineage: Eukaryota; Viridiplantae; Streptophyta; Magnoliopsida; Poales; Poaceae. The transcript has 2 exons. The record is from RefSeq and is a predicted model, not a curated record.
CAGUGAUGUCGGCCCUUCCGCCAAUGAUUCGCGUUCAAGGAGCGCAAGCGAAGAAGAGAAAAUUGGCGGAUCAACUUCCACUCCGGCUCCAGAGCCUAAAGAAAACCCAGCGUCGGCUCAUGCUAACCCGGCAAAGGAUAAACCUGAUGACCAAGCUGACCUUCCAAGUUCUCCCAAGGAAGGCAUCGAAACGCCCAACCCGCCAAGUCCGUUGAAGAGGGCUGAAGAUCGUGACGCUGUAAUCAUUACUAGUACUGGCUUUUCUAAGCUGGUUUCGACAGUCUUAUCGAAGCAUGUAUCAACAUCGUCCCAUCCUUCCACUGGACAUGAAAUCUCCAAGGUCAAACUUUCUCAAUAUGAAAAUCUUGAGUUUAAA